This is a long non-coding RNA of Musca domestica (house fly), 4256 nucleotides long. RefSeq lists it as uncharacterized. The transcript has 7 exons. The record is from RefSeq and is a predicted model, not a curated record. Lineage: Eukaryota; Metazoa; Arthropoda; Insecta; Diptera; Muscidae.
CAGAAAGUAGCAUAGAUGUUGUGUGGUUUUGGAAUACGCUCGCAUUUCCGUACGAUAAUUCGAAACACCUUUGCCCGAGUGAAAACAAACGAAACGGUAUACAGCGCGUACAAUUGAUAUUCUGCGUGUGAUAGUCAACAUAUCAUCAUCAUCAUUAUUAUGGUGAUGAUGAGGAUAAUAAUAAUGAAUAUAAAUACAAUAGGUGUGAUGAUGUAUGAAUGUUAAGUCGUAUGAGAAGAUAAAAAGAAGAAAAUAAUCAAAUAGAAUUCCGGUGAAUGGCAACAAAAGGAAAAGUAAUAGAAAAUAAAAUGAAUAAUGUGUGCGAAGUGCAGGUGUUGGCAAUGUGAAACCCAUCAAGUAUCCUUGUAAAGAGGAUAAUACAGUUUCAUUACAUUAUGCAAAAUAUAGUUAAAUUGAAUGAGUAACAGCCAAAUAUUAAAGGCUCUCAAAAAUGGUUUCUGUUAUUUUUUAUUACAAGCAAUAACAACAGCAACACAAAACCCUUUGCACUGACCCUAAUAGUCAGCAGUGUCCUUUUAGGCGGAAGAAUCGCUUCCAGCUCUGUGAUUGUCCAAAAAUUCAUAAAUAGAAUUUAUGGAAAGUUAUAAUUAAAGAAGUCAAAUUUUGAAAAUAUCCUGCAAAUUCCAUUACAUUUGAUAUGUGUCAUAAAAAGUUUGUUUAUCUGUUCUAAAUCUCGCAGCUAUUCAGUGAUUAUGAGUUGUCAUUAGCAUACCAAACAACAACGACAACAACAACAAUAGCAAAAGUUAAACCGUUUGAUGUCAACAAAAAGUGAUUGCGUGAGGCCGAAAUGUCUGUCUGUGCGUUAAUGGCGGCAUUUGGUGUAAUUUAAUAUUCAUAAGUGUUUUUGCUCCAACAACAGACAACUAUUUAAAACACAUUUAUUCCGAAAAAAAUAUAUAAAUAUAUAUCGAAAAUUGUUAUUAGUAAAUUGUGUAAAAAUAAUUUGUAUGUUCAUUUGCCAAGUGUCUAAACAUAAUUGGAAAACAAAUAAUAAAAUAUAUAUGUAUGUAAAAUAAAUUACUAAUAAUAAUAAUGUUAUACAUAUAUGUGAAGUAAUAUUUGCUUGAAAAUACAUAAAAACGUAAUCAAAGGAUAUACCUAUUUCAAGUGAAGAAAAUACGAAACAACAAUAAGCCAUAAGGAUAAAGAGGAUUAUGCUAUCAUUUGGCGAUAAAAAAAUAAUCAAGAUAACAAAUGAAUGAACGAACGAACGAACGAAUCAUACGAAAUAAGUGUGAAUGCAAUUACUCACUCGGACACGGACAAAUGGAUAAUGUGCACGGGCGAUCUGCUGGAAGGAAAGUAAUUAAAAAUAACCAACAACAGCCAGCAACAACAACACAAAUCAUAUAAUGUGAAAACAAAAAAAAAGAAACGAUGAAUUUAAAUUGAUUAGUGACCGUGGCAAAUGGAAAAUAAAAUACGAAUUUUACUUCAACUGAAUAAAUGAUCAACUUUUUUGAGCGUAUUCGUCUGAUACGAAGGGUUAUUGAAUUACGUAAAUUGUUGUUAUUCAUAUUUACAUUAUGUGGAGUUUGUUCGUGUGCAAUUAAUGCAAAUAAAAAUAAUAAUUUGCCCAGCAUUUUAUGGGAAUGCCGAUUGAAGUCAAACGGCAUAAAAGAAAAACAAAUUAAUUUUCACCAUUACAAAUACAUGUGUGUGUAAUUAAUUGAUUUUAAUUUGCCAUUAAACACAUACACACACACAGGUACUGUUUGUUGUUAUAAUUGAAAACACAAACAAGUCAAUCAAUCGAUGCAAUCAUCCAACAACGCCAUAAAAUUCUUAUUAAAUUGUUAACUAUUCAAUUUCUCAAAAAAGUGAAAAAAGAGCCAAAAAAAAAACUAAAAUAAGAAGUGAAAAUAAAAAUAAAACCAGCUACUCUGUCAGCCAGCCAUCCAGCAAAUUGUGUGCCAUAACAAAUAAUUUAUAUCGAUUUAACUGGUAAUGGCUUUUCACCUUUAUAGCCACAGCCGUCGCCUGCAACUAUAUCAGCCACCACCACCACCACCAGCACUACCACCUCCAUCACAUCAGCAAUAAUAUCAACAGUCCCACUAGUUUGCCACCAGCCAGCCAGCCAGCCAGCCUGCCAACCAGCGAGCUGUAAUCACAGCACCUACUACUUUGCCGCCAGUCACUUCCACCAAUUCCCCCAUGAACAUAUACAUACUACUUACAUAUAUAAAUAUAUAUAUAAUUUCGUGCAAAAGGUUAAUGGUCUCUUGCUAGGGGGUAUACAUUCUCGAGCCACUGAACUGUUGUUGUGUCUUUAGCAACGCUUCCGUUUAUUGAACGCCCGUUUACUUACAACUAAAUCUUUGGCAUUACAACAUAGACAACAAGGCGAUACCGUGAGCUGGCAAUAUUAAAUACUACCACGACAAGGCAAAGCUAGAGGUUUCAACACCCCAUCACUGGUGUUGUUUGUAACAAAAGUUGGAUACACAAAAUUUGAAUAUUGUUACGGGGGGAAGGCGGCAGGGACCUAUUGUCUUUUAUCAUUGAGUGACGUGCUUCAAAUUACCAGGAUUGAGACUUUGGAUUUUGUUGGGCCCAAGUUAAUUUAUUUUCACUUUAUGUGGAAAUACAGGGGAAUAGUAAAUUUAUGUCCUGGAAAAUAAUAACACAUACAUUCAAACUCCCAACAAAGCAUUAUAUACAUAUUUGGAAAUCAAUAAAAUAAAAAAAUAAUAAUUUUUACAUAAAAAAAUAUAUGUGUGUGUAUAAAAAGCACACCUUCGGCAAAAAACAGAGCAACAAGCACUCCCACGCCUAGUCAGUUCAUAUUGAACCUGUCUGACUGACAGAGAAAUCCAUUGAAACACACAGCGACAUUAUCGCGACAAAGAAGCUGUCAACAUGAUUGCAUUUUUGACAUUGUUCUUUUAUAUGACAAGUUUAUCGAUGUGCUACCAAAGACUGUCCGGCAAUCCAAAUCACAAUAAUGUGGAUCAGAAGCCAACGCACUUACCACCGGGUCACUAUUCCCAUAGUCACAGAUGGAAUGAACCCUAUUUCGAUGUGACAAUGCCAAAAAAUAUCACUUCACUUGUGGGGAAGUCUGCCUAUUUGGGGUGUCGAGUUAAGCAUUUAGGCAAUAAAACGGUUGCAUGGAUACGUCAUCGUGAUCUGCAUAUAUUGACAGUUGGCACAUAUACCUACACCACCGAUCAGAGAUUUCAAACGUCCUAUCACCGUGACAUUGAUGAAUGGACAUUACAAAUUAAGUGGGCGCAGCAGCGUGAUGCUGGUGUCUAUGAAUGUCAAAUCUCCACGCAGCCAGUGCGAAGUUUUUCCGUUCAUUUAAAUAUAGUUGUGCCAACAGCGACCAUAUUGGGCGGACCCGAUCUGUAUGUUGAUAAAGGAAGCACAAUUAAUCUAACAUGCGUAAUAAAAUUUAGUACUGAGCCACCAACUCACAUUUUCUGGUACCAUCAAGAUAAGGUACUGAGCGAAGAGACCUCAGGUGGACGCCUCAAGUUUAAGACCGUCAAAUCCGAAGAAACCAAAUCAAUUCUACUUAUUGAUGAUGCCAAUCUCUCUGACUCUGGAAAAUAUUCAUGUUAUCCAUCAAACACAGAAAUUGCCAGUAUACGCGUCCAUGUCCUCCAAGGCGAGAGGCCCGAGGCAAUGCAAACAAAUGCAGCGGGAUCUACUGAUGCAGGAAUCCUAAACCUUUUUGCUGUAAUUCUAACCGCAUUUGUGGCACAAUUUGCAUUAUGUCGCACUUUAGCAACAUUCAUUCGAGUUUUUAUUGCCAACUGUCAGCGAGCUAGAAGUAACAGCCACACUAAAGCCCCAGUCGAGUAUGGCAACAGCAGCAGCAGCACCGCCAGCACCACCACCACCAGUAGCCGCAGCAGAAGGACUUUUAAUAGAUUUUACACCAGCAAUGAUAAUUGUGCAGUCGUCCAUGAAGACAGCUCUCAUGGCGAUGCCAGUGAUGAAACCACAUGCAGCGUUGACAAUGUAAAUGUUUUUGAAAUAUGGAAUACUGAUGAUUGCCGUAAAAAGCGGAAGAGCGUUGAACGAUGGACUAGCACGGCAAACAGUAGAUCAACGCAAAAGAGGGAAACACAAAGUGGCAUCAUCUCUUGCAUCACUCCCAUCCAGUGGAAUCGGACACAUGAUUUACGGUGAUUAAAUACGAGCCGAGAAUACCCAUAAGAAUGAAUAUAUAUACGAGUUAAGUAAAUUAAAAUAAAGUAUGUAAUCACAUUGUAAAUACU